Molecule: unclassified non-coding RNA, 422 nt
Filed under: Hevea brasiliensis (rubber tree)
Lineage: Eukaryota; Viridiplantae; Streptophyta; Magnoliopsida; Malpighiales; Euphorbiaceae
Source: RNAcentral
CCAAGAACUUACGGUAUUUAUAACUAAUCUAGAGACAACAAAACAAUGUAUCAAAGAAAGAAACUACACAACAAAAUGAAUUUCUACAAGCAUGAAGCAUUAGCCCUCAAAGCGCUAACAGGCUACCAAAUAUGCUUUCGAAUUUAAAAGUAAACCAUCUUUCUAAAAAUUAAUCAUUUCUCAACCUCUGCUCUAAUUAGAUAACGCACCUACAAGAUGAUCACUACAAUUUUCUAUAGUUUGAUUCUGUUCUUUUACUGCAAUAAAUAAAUUCAAAAUAACAAAAAUUGAAAACAAUAAAUCCUGGGAAUAGCACCGAGAACUUCAUCGUGUAGCUUGUGCCUGUGCGUGAUCUAAAAGUUGACUGACUAACUUGUAAGUACGCCCUGACAAUGCCUUGGUGUGAUCUAUCAACUGCUCAU